ACGGGUGAGUAAUGCAUCGGAAUGUACCGUGUAGUGGGGGAUAGCUCGGCGAAAGCCGGAUUAAUACCGCAUACGCCCUGAGGGGGAAAGUGGGGGACCGAAAGGCCUCACGUUAUACGAGCAGCCGAUGUCUGAUUAGCUAGUUGGUGGGGUAAAGGCUCACCAAGGCGACGAUCAGUAGCGGGUCUGAGAGGAUGAUCCGCCACACUGGGACUGAGACACGGCCCAGACUCCUACGGGAGGCAGCAGUGGGGAAUUUUGGACAAUGGGCGCAAGCCUGAUCCAGCCAUGCCGCGUGUCUGAAGAAGGCCUUCGGGUUGUAAAGGACUUUUGUCCGGGAGCAAAUCCCAGUGGUUAAUACCUACUGGGGCUGAGAGUACCGGAAGAAUAAGCACCGGCUAACUACGUGCCAGCAGCCGCGGUAAUACGUAGGGUGCAAGCGUUAAUCGGAAUUACUGGGCGUAAAGCGUGCGCAGGCGGUUGUGCAAGUCUGAUGUGAAAGCCCCGGGCUUAACCUGGGAACGGCAUUGGAGACUGCACGACUAGAGUGCGUCAGAGGGGGGUAGAAUUCCGCGUGUAGCAGUGA
Molecule: ribosomal RNA, 586 nt
Filed under: uncultured bacterium
Lineage: Bacteria
Description: bacterial SSU rRNA
Rfam family: Bacterial small subunit ribosomal RNA
Source: RNAcentral